RNAcentral lists this ribosomal RNA (439 nucleotides) under Drosophila mimica. RNAcentral describes it as "partial 12S ribosomal RNA". The record is from RNAcentral. Lineage: Eukaryota; Metazoa; Arthropoda; Insecta; Diptera; Drosophilidae.
GUUUUCCAAAAUGUCAGUAUCUUAUACUUAAGUAGUAAUAGCUAUGUACUUGAAACUUAAAAAACUUGGCGGUAUUUCAAUCUAUCCAGAGAAACCUGCUUUGUACUCUAUAAUCCACGAUGGACCUUACUUAAGUUUGAAUCAGUUUAUAUACCGCGUUAUCAGAAUAUCUUAUAACGAAUAAUAAUAUUCAAGAAUUGCUAUUAAAACUUAUAUCAGAUCAAGGUGUGGCUUACAUAUAAGGCAUAAUGGGGUACAAUAAAAUUCUCUAAACGGAUAAAAUUAUGAAAAAUUUUUUGAAGGUGCCUUUGGUAGUAAACUUAUAACGAUAGAUACUUUGUUUUAGUUCUAAAAUAUGUACACAUCGCCCGUCGCUCUUAUUAUUAAGGUAAGAUAAGUCGUAACAUAGUAGAUGUACUGGAAAGUGUAUCUAGAAUGA